GGGGCCGUAGCUCAGUGGGAGAGCGCUGCGAAAGCAGAGAUGGCUGGUUCGAAUCCGCCAGGCUCCACCA
Molecule: transfer RNA, 70 nt
Filed under: Methylocella tundrae
Lineage: Bacteria; Pseudomonadati; Pseudomonadota; Alphaproteobacteria; Hyphomicrobiales; Beijerinckiaceae
Description: Pseudo tRNA
Rfam family: tRNA
About the family: Transfer RNA (tRNA) molecules are approximately 80 nucleotides in length. Their secondary structure includes four short double-helical elements and three loops (D, anti-codon, and T loops). Further hydrogen bonds mediate the characteristic L-shaped molecular structure. tRNAs have two regions of fundamental functional importance: the anti-codon, which is responsible for specific mRNA codon recognition, and the 3' end, to which the tRNAs corresponding amino acid is attached (by aminoacyl-tRNA synthetases). tRNAs cope with the degeneracy of the genetic code in two manners: having more than one tRNA (with a specific anti-codon) for a particular amino acid; and 'wobble' base-pairing, i.e. permitting non-standard base-pairing at the 3rd anti-codon position.
Source: RNAcentral